Long non-coding RNA from Haliotis rubra (blacklip abalone), 395 nucleotides. RefSeq lists it as uncharacterized. The transcript is spliced from 3 exons. NCBI's taxonomy places the organism in Eukaryota, Metazoa, Mollusca, Gastropoda, Lepetellida, Haliotidae. The record is from RefSeq and is a predicted model, not a curated record.
UAAUUAUUCAUUUAAUUAUUAAAAGUUGUUCAUGAAGAAAGAAAUGUUACCGCGGGAAAGGACGUCGGAAUGACGUCACACCGUCACGUCAUAUUUUCGCACCCGCCAUCUUAGUUGAAGUUUAUUGAGGACGGUACAACAAUGUCAUUGUGCAGCAACAAAUGGAACAGUAUCAUCGAUCUGACCUCGGUUGCGCAAGGGCGAAUAUGAGACACAAGAAUUCCGGCAGAUGCAAACAGAAGUGAUGGAUUUGUUGAGGAUUAAAUCAAAUAAUCCAGGAGCUGUGAAUCAGUAAACAAAAAUGGAUAAAGUCGAAACCAAAGAAGAAGCUUCUGAAAUAAUCUCGAAAAGUGUACGCGUUUUCUGAAAGAAAUUAAUAAAGAGUGUUGAUUACA